ACUGGAAGCUGCAGGGCUUGGCCAUGUGGGCAAAUGAAACGUCUUUUGUCUGCAUUUGCAGUCUUCCUAGAGCAAAGUGGAGGUCUCUGUCUGGGUUAGGACAGCUAGCUAACCCUGAUCGUUCCCCUCCAUACACU
Pelodiscus sinensis (Chinese soft-shelled turtle) is the source of this 137-nucleotide small nucleolar RNA. Ensembl annotates it as small Cajal body-specific RNA 3. Its record names the gene SCARNA3. NCBI's taxonomy places the organism in Eukaryota, Metazoa, Chordata, Testudines, Trionychidae. The record is from Ensembl.